UCCAGACUCCUACGGGAGGCAGCAGUGGGGGAUAUUGCACAAUGGGGGGAACCCUGAUGCAGCGACGCCGCGUGGGUGAAGGAGCGUUUCGGCGCGUAAAGCCCUCUCGGCAGGGAAGAAGGAGGACGGUACCUGACUAAGAAGCCCCGGCUAACUACGUGCCAGCAGCCGCGGUAAUACGUAGGGGGCAAGCGUUAUCCGGAUUUACUGGGUGUAAAGGGGGCGCAGACGGCGAUGCAAGCCAGGAGUGAAAGCCCGGGGCCCAACCCCGGGACUGCUCUUGGAACUGCGUGGCUGGAGUGCAGGAGGGGCAGGCGGAAUUCCUGGUGUAGCGGCGAAAUGCGUAGAUAUCAGGAGGAACACCGGUGGCGAAGGCGGCCUGCUGGACUGCAACUGACGUUGAGGCCCGAAAGCGUGGGGAGCAAACAGGAUUAGAUACCCUAGUACAA
Molecule: ribosomal RNA, 449 nt
Filed under: uncultured bacterium
Lineage: Bacteria
Description: bacterial SSU rRNA
Rfam family: Bacterial small subunit ribosomal RNA
Source: RNAcentral